UAACUGACGCUGAGGAGGCGAAAGGGGUGGGGGAGCAAACAGGCUUAGAUACCUGGUAGUCCACCCCGUAAACGUUGGGAACUAGUUGUGGGGUCCUUUCCACGGAUUCCGUGACGCAGCUAACGCAUUAAGUUCCCCGCCUGGGGAGUACGGCCGCAAGGCUAAAACUCAAAGGAAUUGACGGGGACCCGCACAAGCGGCGGAGCAUGCGGAUUAAUUCGAUGCAACGCGAAGAACCUUACCAAGGCUUGACAUACACGAGAACGGGCCAGAAAUGGUCAACUCUUUGGACACUCGUGAACAGGUGGUGCAUGGUUGUCAUCAGCUCGUGUCGUGAGAUGUUGGGUUAAGUCCCGCAACGAGCGCAACCCUCGUUCUAUGUUGCCAGCACGUAAUGGUGGGAACUCAUGGGAUACUGCCGGGGUCAACUCGGAGGAAGGUGGGGAUGACGUCAAAUCAUCAUGCCCCUUAUGUCUUGGGCUUCACGCAUGCUACAAUGGCCGGUACAAUGGGCUGCAAUACCGUGAGGUGGAGCGAAUCCCAAAAAGCCGGUCCCAGUUCGGAUUGAGGUCUGCAACUCGACCUCAUGAAGUCGGAGUCGCUAGUAAUCGCAGAUCAGCAACGCUGCGGUGAAUACGUUCCCGGGUCUUGUACACACCGCCCGUCAAGUCG
This 672-nucleotide ribosomal RNA is filed under the name Microbacterium azadirachtae. RNAcentral's name for it is "bacterial SSU rRNA". It matches the Rfam family "Bacterial small subunit ribosomal RNA", at positions 737 to 1404 of the family's 1533-position model. The record is from RNAcentral. Lineage: Bacteria; Bacillati; Actinomycetota; Actinomycetes; Micrococcales; Microbacteriaceae.